This 357-nucleotide long non-coding RNA is filed under the name Nicotiana benthamiana. RNAcentral describes it as "long non-coding RNA (NBEN_LNC002235)". The record is from RNAcentral. Lineage: Eukaryota; Viridiplantae; Streptophyta; Magnoliopsida; Solanales; Solanaceae.
CUUGACAUUUAGCCACAAAUAUGCUCAUCAGAAUCAGCAUAGCCUUCUCCAAUUUCAGUCAGCAAGUUCUCGAAAGGAUUCUCAUACUCCAUGUCACUAGGCAUCAUCCUCACAAAGUAUGCGUCAUCCUGUGCAGGUAAAGGAUUCUGCGUGAUACUCUGGGUGUCACUGUCUUGAAUUACAAUCAGGUUUCCCUGGAUCAUCCUCCCUAUUUAUCUUUUCAAAUCCCGACAACUUUCAAUAUCGUGCCCCGGAGCAUCGGAAUGCUAUUCACACCUAUUAGAAGGGUCAAAGCUUCUUGCACGUGGGUCCAAAUGAUUUGGAGGAAUGGGUGCCAUCAUGCCAUAAUGCUUCAAC